UACAGAGGUCUCAAGCGUUGUUCGGAUUCAUUGGGCGUAAAGGGUGCGUAGGUGGCGCUGUAAGUCGGGUGUGAAAUUUCGGAGCUUAACUCCGAAAUUGCAUUCGAUACUGCCGUGCUCGAGGACUGGAGAGGAGACUGGAAUUCAUGGUGUAGCAGUGAAAUGCGUAGAGAUCAUGAGGAAGACCAGUGGCGAAGGCGGGUCUCUGGACAGUUCCUGACACUGAGGCACGAAGGCCAGGGGGGCAAACGGG
This 253-nucleotide ribosomal RNA is filed under the name uncultured bacterium. RNAcentral describes it as "partial 16S ribosomal RNA". It matches the Rfam family "Bacterial small subunit ribosomal RNA", at positions 524 to 776 of the family's 1533-position model. The record is from RNAcentral.